AGUGAACGCUGGCGGUAGGCCUAACACAUGCAAGUCGAACGGCAGCACAGUAAGAGCUUGCUCUUACGGGUGGCGAGUGGCGGACGGGUGAGGAAUACAUCGGAAUCUACUUUUUCGUGGGGGAUAACGUAGGGAAACUUACGCUAAUACCGCAUACGACCUACGGUUGAAAGCAGGGGAUCUUCGGACCUUGCGCGAUUGAAUGAGCCGAUGUCGGAUUAGCUAGUUGGCGGGGUAAAGGCCCACCAAGGCGACGAUCCGUAGCUGGUCUGAGAGGAUGAUAAGCCACAUUGGAACGUGGACACGGUCCAGAGUCCUACGGGAGGCAGCAGUGGGGAAUAUUGGACAAUGGGCGCAAGCCUGAUCCAGCCAUACCGCGUGGGUGAAGAAGGCCUUCGGGUUGUAAAGCCCUUUUGUUGGGAAAGAAAAGCAGCAGGUUAAUACCCCGCUGUUCUGACGGUACCCAAAGAAUAAGCACCGGCUAACUUCGUG
RNAcentral lists this ribosomal RNA (492 nucleotides) under uncultured bacterium. Its description in RNAcentral is "partial 16S ribosomal RNA". It matches the Rfam family "Bacterial small subunit ribosomal RNA", at positions 29 to 507 of the family's 1533-position model. The record is from RNAcentral.